GACGAACGCUGGCGGCGUGCUUAACACAUGCAAGUCGAACGGAAAGGCCCUGCUUUUGUGGGGUGCUCGAGUGGCGAACGGGUGAGUAACACGUGAGUAACCUGCCCUUGACUUUGGGAUAACUUCAGGAAACUGGGGCUAAUACCGGAUAGGAGCUCCUGCUGCAUGGUGGGGGUUGGAAAGUUUCGGCGGUUGGGGAUGGACUCGCGGCUUAUCAGCUUGUUGGUGGGGUAGUGGAUUACCAAGGCUUUGACGGGUAGCCGGCCUGAGAGGGUGACCGGCCACAUUGGGACUGAGAUACGGCCCAGACUCCUACGGGAGGCAGCAGUGGGGAAUAUUGCACAAUGGGCGGAAGCCUGAUGCAGCAACGCCGCGUGCGGGAUGACGGCCUUCGGGUUGAAAACCGCUUUCGCCUGUGACGAAGCGUGAGUGACGGUAAUGGGUAAAGAAGCACCGGCUAACUACGUG
This 468-nucleotide ribosomal RNA is filed under the name uncultured bacterium. Its description in RNAcentral is "partial 16S ribosomal RNA". It matches the Rfam family "Bacterial small subunit ribosomal RNA", at positions 28 to 507 of the family's 1533-position model. The record is from RNAcentral.